This 72-nucleotide transfer RNA is filed under the name Cylindrobasidium torrendii FP15055 ss-10. Its description in RNAcentral is "tRNA-Gln (TTG) (tRNA-Gln-TTG-1-1)". It matches the Rfam family "tRNA". From Rfam's summary of the family: Transfer RNA (tRNA) molecules are approximately 80 nucleotides in length. Their secondary structure includes four short double-helical elements and three loops (D, anti-codon, and T loops). Lineage: Eukaryota; Fungi; Basidiomycota; Agaricomycetes; Agaricales; Physalacriaceae. The record is from RNAcentral.
GGCGCUAUAGUGUAGUGGUCAUCACACGGGAUUUUGAUUCCCGUGACCCAGGUUCGAACCCUGGUAGUGCCU